This 1107-nucleotide long non-coding RNA is filed under the name Helianthus annuus (common sunflower). RNAcentral's name for it is "hypothetical non coding rna". The record is from RNAcentral. Lineage: Eukaryota; Viridiplantae; Streptophyta; Magnoliopsida; Asterales; Asteraceae.
GUUUUUGGUUUUCCCUCCCAUUCUCAAAUCUAAUCUGACCAUCCAAAUCGACUCCCACCCCCUUCUCAUUUAGAAAAUUAGGGUUUGUGAGAGCAAUAUGAGAAGCCGUAUGUGAAGAAUAUGACGUGUUUGUGCAUCUAUCUUUAGAUCCCAAUCCCUAAACCUAACAUUCUGAUCGUUCGAUUUAAACCCAUGGAACCUAAUGUCUAUGAACCGAUUGAAGCUCAGAAAAUCAGUUCUCGAAAUUGGAAGGAAAACGAAGCGUUGCCAGGUUGAAUAAUCAAAAGUUGCAGAUUUAAGCGACAAACAAUUAAAGUUCUCACGAUGAAGGUAUUAAGAUAAACAAAAAUCACAGCCUCCUCUGCCCUUUACAAUAUUCUAAUUGUGAUAUUCUGUUAGUUGUGAUAAUCUAACGUUCUUCCAGUUAUGAGUUAUGUGUUGAUGUUUCUUUCAAAAUUUUGUUUUUGUUGGCUUAAUUUUGAUAGACUUGUGCAGCAAUAGCCUACGCAGUAUGCAACGUGUGUAUAACAUAGUAUUGAUCAGUCCAUUGUUAGUGCUUCUAUCUACCUUUUUUAUUUAGCGAUUGGGGCGACAACGUUUCAAGGCGAUGUUUGCUUAUUUCAUGACUUAGAAAAUGGAGGAUGAACCAAGUUUUAACCCUUUUUGGUUUUUAGAUCAUGUUGGUGUUACCACUUCCCGUGUUCAUCUUUAAGGGGGGCUAUCAGCUAUGGAUGAAUUUGGAUUGAGAUCUAUUCCCAAUUUGCAUAAUAUAUAUAUCGGCACUUGUUUCCUUAUCAUCAAGGUUGGGCGGCAGGGGUGUAUCAAACUUACAUAGAUGGCUGUACAAGGCAAAGACCAAGGCUACAAUCUUGUUCUAGAAUUCAAUGGAGCAAUUUUGGUGUUGUAAAAGAUCAAAGUAACUCGUCUUCAGAGUUGUGGACCUUGCAACGGGUCUUGUGCCAAACCUAGGACCAACGUGUCUGAAUCUGCAACAUGUGGUGGUCAAAGCCAAGUUGUAUCUUUAUCUCUAUUUAUCUGGUUUUAGUUCCUUGUAUUUGUAGAAUUUGUACAUUUUUGUAAAUUGAUAUGAAUUUAUUGAAUAGGAUU